This 88-nucleotide transfer RNA is filed under the name Gammaproteobacteria bacterium RIFCSPHIGHO2_12_FULL_37_14. RNAcentral's name for it is "tRNA-Arg". It matches the Rfam family "tRNA". Rfam says of the family: Transfer RNA (tRNA) molecules are approximately 80 nucleotides in length. Lineage: Bacteria; Pseudomonadati; Pseudomonadota; Gammaproteobacteria. The record is from RNAcentral.
GGAAGGGUGGCUGAGUGGUUUAAAGCAUUGGUUAUCUAAACCAACAUACGGUUUAUCUGUAUCGUAAGUUCGAAUCUUACCUCUUCCG